CCCUUAGAUGUCCUGGGCUGCACGCGCGCUACACUGAUGUGUCCAGUAAGCACCUAACCUCUUCCGAAAGGAACGGGUAACCUUUGCAAAGCACAUCGUGAUGGGGAUAGAUUAUUGCAAUUAUUAGUCUUGAACGAGGAAUUCCUAGUAAGCACAAGUCAUCAGCUUGUGUUGAUUACGUCCCUGCCCUUUGUACACACCGCCCGUCGCUCCUACCGAUUGAAUGUUCCGGUGAGCUCUUCGGACUUCGCGGUCUGCAGUUUCUGCGUUCCGUGCGGAAAGUUGCGCAAACCUUAACAUUUAGAGGAAGGAGAAGUCGUAACA
This 324-nucleotide ribosomal RNA is filed under the name uncultured eukaryote. Its description in RNAcentral is "partial 18S ribosomal RNA". It matches the Rfam family "Eukaryotic small subunit ribosomal RNA", at positions 1470 to 1796 of the family's 1831-position model. The record is from RNAcentral.